RNAcentral lists this ribosomal RNA (580 nucleotides) under Candida tropicalis. RNAcentral's name for it is "LSU rRNA". It matches the Rfam family "Eukaryotic large subunit ribosomal RNA", at positions 70 to 668 of the family's 3401-position model. Lineage: Eukaryota; Fungi; Ascomycota; Pichiomycetes; Serinales; Debaryomycetaceae. The record is from RNAcentral.
AGCCCAUGCUUAGUAGCGGCGAGUGAGCGGCAAAAGCUCAAAUUUGAAAUCUGGCUCUUUCAGAGUCCGAGUUGUAAUUUGAAGAAGGUAUCUUUGGGUCUGGCUCUUGUCUAUGUUUCUUGGAACAGAACGUCACAGAGGGUGAGAAUCCCGUGCGAUGAGAUGAUCCAGGCCUAUGUAAAGUUCCUUCGAAGAGUCGAGUUGUUUGGGAAUGCAGCUCUAAGUGGGUGGUAAAUUCCAUCUAAAGCUAAAUAUUGGCGAGAGACCGAUAGCGAACAAGUACAGUGAUGGAAAGAUGAAAAGAACUUUGAAAAGAGAGUGAAAAAGUACGUGAAAUUGUUGAAAGGGAAGGGCUUGAGAUCAGACUUGGUAUUUUGUAUGUUACUUCUUCGGGGGUGGCCUCUACAGUUUAUCGGGCCAGCAUCAGUUUGGGCGGUAGGAGAAUUGCGUUGGAAUGUGGCACGGCUUCGGUUGUGUGUUAUAGCCUUCGUCGAUACUGCCAGCCUAGACUGAGGACUGCGGUUUAUACCUAGGAUGUUGGCAUAAUGAUCUUAAGUCGCCCGUCUUGAACAACGGACCA